Molecule: ribosomal RNA, 434 nt
Filed under: uncultured bacterium
Lineage: Bacteria
Description: partial 16S ribosomal RNA
Rfam family: Bacterial small subunit ribosomal RNA
Source: RNAcentral
GAUGAACGCUGGCGGUAUGCUUAACACAUGCAAGUCGAACGGACUCUUCGGAGUUAGUGGCGGACGGGUGAGUAACGCGUGAGAAUCUGGCUUUGGGUUCGGGACAACCACUGGAAACGGUGGCUAAUACCGGAUGUGCCGAGAGGUAAAAGAGAAAUUGCCUGAAGAUGAGCUCGCGUCUGAUUAGCUAGUUGGUGAGGUAAAGGCUCACCAAGGCAGCGAUCAGUAGCUGGUCUGAGAGGAUGACCAGCCACACUGGGACUGAGACACGGCCCAGACUCCUACGGGAGGCAGCAGUGGAGAAUUUUCAGCAAAGGGCGAAAGCCUGACGGAGCAAUACCGCGUGAGGGAAGAAGGCUCUUGGGUUGUAAACCUCUUUUCUUAGGGAAGAACAAAAUGACGGUACCUAAGGAAUCAGCAUCGGCUAACUCCGU